GACGAACGCUGGCGGCGUGCUUAACACAUGCAAGUCGAACGGAAAGGCCCUGCUUUUGUGGGGUGCUCGAGUGGCGAACGGGUGAGUAAAACGUGAGUAACCUGCCCUUGACUUUGGGAUAAAUUCAGGAAACUGGGGCUAAUACCGGAUAGGAGCUCCUGCUGCAUGGUGGGGGUUGGAAAGUUUCGGCGGUUGGGGAUGGACUCGCGGCUUAUCAGCUUGUUGGUGAGGUAGUGGCUUACCAAGGCUUUGACGGGUAGCCGGCCUGAGAGGGUGACCGGCCACAUUGGGACUGAGAUACGGCCCAGACUCCUACGGGAGGCAGCAGUGGGGAAUAUUGCACAAUGGGCGGAAGCCUGAUGCAGCAACGCCGCGUGCGGGAUGACGGCCUUCGGGUUGUAAACCGCUUUCGCCUGUGACGAAGCGUGAGUGACGGUAAUGGGUAAAGAAGCACCGGCUAACUACGUG
RNAcentral lists this ribosomal RNA (468 nucleotides) under uncultured bacterium. RNAcentral's name for it is "partial 16S ribosomal RNA". It matches the Rfam family "Bacterial small subunit ribosomal RNA", at positions 28 to 507 of the family's 1533-position model. The record is from RNAcentral.